This 79-nucleotide transfer RNA is filed under the name Caudoviricetes sp. RNAcentral's name for it is "tRNA-Asn". It matches the Rfam family "tRNA". Rfam says of the family: Transfer RNA (tRNA) molecules are approximately 80 nucleotides in length. Their secondary structure includes four short double-helical elements and three loops (D, anti-codon, and T loops). The record is from RNAcentral. Lineage: Duplodnaviria; Heunggongvirae; Uroviricota; Caudoviricetes.
GCAUCCUUAGCUCAACGGGUAGAGCGUUCGGCUGUUAACCGAAAUGUUACAGGUUCGAGCCCUGUAGGAUGGGUUGCCA